UACCCUGAACGCUUAAGUCGUGGAUCGAUGAAAAACGCAUCUAAUUGCACAUCAACGUGUGAACUGCAGGAAACAUGAACAGCGACAUUUUAAACGCAUAUUGAUCCACAGAUACAAUUUCUGUAUCAUAUCUGACAGAGGGUCA
RNAcentral lists this ribosomal RNA (145 nucleotides) under Apis mellifera (honey bee). Its description in RNAcentral is "5.8S ribosomal RNA". It matches the Rfam family "5.8S ribosomal RNA". Rfam says of the family: 5.8S ribosomal RNA (5.8S rRNA) is a component of the large subunit of the eukaryotic ribosome. It is transcribed by RNA polymerase I as part of the 45S precursor that also contains 18S and 28S rRNA. Functionally, it is thought that 5.8S rRNA may be involved in ribosome translocation. Lineage: Eukaryota; Metazoa; Arthropoda; Insecta; Hymenoptera; Apidae. The record is from Rfam by way of RNAcentral.